Molecule: transfer RNA, 82 nt
Filed under: Candidatus Desulfofervidus auxilii
Lineage: Bacteria; Pseudomonadati; Thermodesulfobacteriota; Candidatus Desulfofervidia; Candidatus Desulfofervidales; Candidatus Desulfofervidaceae
Rfam family: tRNA
About the family: Transfer RNA (tRNA) molecules are approximately 80 nucleotides in length.
Source: Rfam by way of RNAcentral
GGAGGGGUUCCCGAGUGGCCAAAGGGGACGGGCUGUAAACCCGUUGGCUCUGCCUUCGGAGGUUCAAAUCCUCCCCCCUCCA